GACAGAGGAGCCAAGCGUUGUCCGGACUGACUGGGCGUAAAGGGCGCGCAGGCGGCUACGCACGUCCGUUGUGAAAUCGCUCGGCUCAACUGGGCGGGGUCAGCGGAUACGGCGUAGCUGGAGCAAGCUAGGGGGCAAUGGAAUUCCCGGUGUAGUGGUGGAAUGCGUAGAUAUCGGGAGGAACACCAGUGGCGAAGGCGGUUGCCUGGAGCUUUGCUGACGCUGAGGCGCGAAAGCGUGGGGAGCGAUCCGG
This 253-nucleotide ribosomal RNA is filed under the name uncultured bacterium. RNAcentral describes it as "partial 16S ribosomal RNA". It matches the Rfam family "Bacterial small subunit ribosomal RNA", at positions 524 to 776 of the family's 1533-position model. The record is from RNAcentral.